Non-coding RNA from Podarcis lilfordi (Lilford's wall lizard), 77 nucleotides. The record is from the annotation of a GenBank genome assembly. Lineage: Eukaryota; Metazoa; Chordata; Lepidosauria; Squamata; Lacertidae.
GCCAUCAGAGUAGCACAGUUGGUAGAGCAUGAGACUCUUAAUCUAAUGGGUCAUGGGUUUGAGCCCUAUGUUGGGCA